This 74-nucleotide transfer RNA is filed under the name Thermoplasmata archaeon. RNAcentral's name for it is "tRNA-Phe". It matches the Rfam family "tRNA". From Rfam's summary of the family: Transfer RNA (tRNA) molecules are approximately 80 nucleotides in length. Their secondary structure includes four short double-helical elements and three loops (D, anti-codon, and T loops). Lineage: Archaea; Methanobacteriati; Thermoplasmatota; Thermoplasmata. The record is from RNAcentral.
GGAGAGGUAGAACAGCAUGGGAGUUCGCCGGUUUGAAGAACCGGUCGUCAUGGGUUCGAAUCCCAUCCUCUCCA